GACGAACGCUGGCGGCGUGCCUAAUACAUGCGAGUUGAGCGCUGAAGGUUGGUACUUGUACCAACUGGAUGAGCAGCGAACGGGUGAGUAACGCGUGGGGAAUCUGCCUUUGAGCGGGGGACAACAUUUGGAAACGAAUGCUAAUACCGCAUAAAAACUUUAAACACAAGUUUUAAGUUUGAAAGAUGCAAUUGCAUCACUCAAAGAUGAUCCCGCGUUGUAUUAGCUAGUUGGUGAGGUAAAGGCUCACCAAGGCGAUGAUACAUAGCCGACCUGAGAGGGUGAACGGCCACAUUGGGACUGAGACACGGCCCAAACUCCUACGGGAGGCAGCAGUAGGGAAUCUUCGGCAAUGGACGAAAGUCUGACCGAGCAACGCCGCGUGAGUGAAGAAGGUUUUCGGAUCGUAAAACUCUGUUGGUAGAGAAGAACGUUGGUGAGAGUGGAAAGCUCAUCAAGUGACGGUAACUACCCAGAAAGGGACGGCUAACUACGUG
RNAcentral lists this ribosomal RNA (497 nucleotides) under uncultured bacterium. RNAcentral's name for it is "partial 16S ribosomal RNA". It matches the Rfam family "Bacterial small subunit ribosomal RNA", at positions 28 to 507 of the family's 1533-position model. The record is from RNAcentral.